Molecule: ribosomal RNA, 2939 nt
Filed under: Providencia stuartii
Lineage: Bacteria; Pseudomonadati; Pseudomonadota; Gammaproteobacteria; Enterobacterales; Morganellaceae
Description: bacterial LSU rRNA
Rfam family: Bacterial large subunit ribosomal RNA
Source: RNAcentral
GGGUUGUGAGGUUAAGCGACUAAGCGUACACGGUGGAUGCCUAGGCAAUCAGAGGCGAUGAAGGACGUGCUAAUCUGCGAAAAGCGUCGGUAAGGUGAUAUGAACCGUUAUAGCCGACGAUGUCCGAAUGGGGAAACCCAGUGCAAUUCGUUGCACUAUCGUUUGAUGAAUCCAUAGUCAAACGAGGCGAACCGGGGGAACUGAAACAUCUCAGUACCCCGAGGAAAAGAAAUCAACCGAGAUUCCCCUAGUAGCGGCGAGCGAACGGGGAGCAGCCCAGAGUCUUAAUCAGUAUCAGCAUCAGGAGAACGGUCUGGAAAGGCCGGCAAUAAAGGGUGAUAGCCCCGUAUCCGAAGGUGUUGGUGUUGUGAACUCGACGAGUAGGGCGGGACACGUGUUAUCCUGUCUGAAUAUGGGGGGACCAUCCUCCAAGGCUAAAUACUCCUGAUUGACCGAUAGUGAACCAGUACCGUGAGGGAAAGGCGAAAAGAACCCCGGCGAGGGGAGUGAAAUAGAACCUGAAACCGUGUACGUACAAGCAGUGGGAGCCUUGAUUUAUCAGGGUGACUGCGUACCUUUUGUAUAAUGGGUCAGCGACUUAUAUUCUGUAGCAAGGUUAACCGAAUAGGGGAGCCGUAGGGAAACCGAGUCUUAACUGGGCGAAUGAGUUGCAGGGUAUAGACCCGAAACCCGGUGAUCUAGCCAUGGGCAGGUUGAAGGUUGGGUAACACUAACUGGAGGACCGAACCGACUAAUGUUGAAAAAUUAGCGGAUGACUUGUGGCUGGGGGUGAAAGGCCAAUCAAACCGGGAGAUAGCUGGUUCUCCCCGAAAGCUAUUUAGGUAGCGCCUCGUGAACUCAUCUUCGGGGGUAGAGCACUGUUUCGGCUAGGGGGUCAUCCCGACUUACCAACCCGAUGCAAACUACGAAUACCGAAGAAUGUUAUCACGGGAGACACACGGCGGGUGCUAACGUUCGUCGUGAAGAGGGAAACAACCCAGACCGCCAGCUAAGGUCCCAAAGUCAUGGUUAAGUGGGAAACGAAGUGGGAAGGCUCAGACAGCCAGGAUGUUGGCUUAGAAGCAGCCAUCAUUUAAAGAAAGCGUAAUAGCUCACUGGUCGAGUCGGCCUGCGCGGAAGAUGUAACGGGGCUAAACCAUGCACCGAAGCUGCGGCAGCGACAUGUAAAUGUUGUUGGGUAGGGGAGCGUUCUGUAAGCCUGUGAAGGUGUGCUGCGAGGCAUGCUGGAGGUAUCAGAAGUGCGAAUGCUGACAUAAGUAACGAUAAUGCGGGUGAAAAACCCGCACGCCGGAAGACCAAGGGUUCCUGUCCAACGUUAAUCGGGGCAGGGUGAGUCGACCCCUAAGGCGAGGCAGAAAUGCGUAGUCGAUGGGAAACAGGUUAAUAUUCCUGUACUGGUGAUAAUUGCGAUGGGGGGACGGAGAAGGCUAGGCUAGCCGGGCGACGGUUGUCCCGGUUUAAGGAUGUAGGUGGGUGAAUUAGGCAAAUCCGGUUCACUAUACACUGAGGUCUGAUGACGAGUCACUACGGUGGCGAAGUAGCUCAUGCCCCGCUUCCAGGAAAAGCCUCUAAGCUCUAGAUUAUCAUUAAUCGUACCCCAAACCGACACAGGUGGUCAGGUAGAGAAUACUCAGGCGCUUGAGAGAACUCGGGUGAAGGAACUAGGCAAAAUGGUGCCGUAACUUCGGGAGAAGGCACGCUGGCACUAGGUGAAGUCCCUUGCGAAUGGAGCCGAAGCCAGUCGCAGAUACCAGCUGGCUGCAACUGUUUAUUAAAAACACAGCACUGUGCAAACACGAAAGUGGACGUAUACGGUGUGACGCCUGCCCGGUGCUGGAAGGUUAAUUGAUGGGGUUAUCCGUAAGGAGAAGCUCUUGAUCGAAGCCCCAGUAAACGGCGGCCGUAACUAUAACGGUCCUAAGGUAGCGAAAUUCCUUGUCGGGUAAGUUCCGACCUGCACGAAUGGCGUAAUGAUGGCCAGGCUGUCUCCACCCGAGACUCAGUGAAAUUGAACUCGCUGUGAAGAUGCAGUGUACCCGCGGCAAGACGGAAAGACCCCGUGAACCUUUACUAUAGCUUGACACUGAACAUUGAGCCUUGAUGUGUAGGAUAGGUGGGAGGCUUUGAAGUGUGGACGCCAGUCUGCAUGGAGCCAACCUUGAAAUACCACCCUUUAAUGUUUGAUGUUCUAACGUCGCCCCGUAAUCCGGGGUGCGGACAGUGUCUGGUGGGUAGUUUGACUGGGGCGGUCUCCUCCCAAAGCGUAACGGAGGAGCACGAAGGUUGGCUAAGCAUGGUCGGACAUCAUGCGGUUAGUGCAAAGGCAUAAGCCAGCUUGACUGCGAGAGUGACGGCUCGAGCAGGUACGAAAGUAGGUCUUAGUGAUCCGGUGGUUCUGAAUGGAAGGGCCAUCGCUCAACGGAUAAAAGGUACUCCGGGGAUAACAGGCUGAUACCGCCCAAGAGUUCAUAUCGACGGCGGUGUUUGGCACCUCGAUGUCGGCUCAUCACAUCCUGGGGCUGAAGUAGGUCCCAAGGGUAUGGCUGUUCGCCAUUUAAAGUGGUACGCGAGCUGGGUUUAGAACGUCGUGAGACAGUUCGGUCCCUAUCUGCCGUGGGCGUUGGAAGAUUGAAAGGGGCUGCUCCUAGUACGAGAGGACCGGAGUGGACGCACCGCUGGUGUUCGGGUUGUCAUGCCAAUGGCACUGCCCGGUAGCUAAGUGCGGAAGAGAUAACCGCUGAAAGCAUCUAAGCGGGAAACUUGCCUUGAGAUGAGUCUUCCCUGACUCUUUAAGGGUCCUAAAGGAACGUUUAAGACGAAGACGUUGAUAGGCUGGGUGUGUAAGCGUAGCGAUACGUUGAGCUAACCAGUACUAAUGAACCGUGAGGCUUAACCUGACAACACCGAAGGUGUUUUAG